GUGACUAUAGCUCAGCCGGUUAGAGCGUCUGCUUGUGGCGCAGAAGGUCGUGAGUUCGAAUCUCACUAGUCACC
Non-coding RNA from Salvia splendens (bonfire salvia), 74 nucleotides. The record is from the annotation of a RefSeq genome assembly. NCBI's taxonomy places the organism in Eukaryota, Viridiplantae, Streptophyta, Magnoliopsida, Lamiales, Lamiaceae.